This 1167-nucleotide ribosomal RNA is filed under the name uncultured organism. Its description in RNAcentral is "bacterial SSU rRNA". It matches the Rfam family "Bacterial small subunit ribosomal RNA", at positions 199 to 1396 of the family's 1533-position model. The record is from RNAcentral.
GAGUAAAGAUUUCGGUCGCUUUGGGAGGAGCUCGCUUACUAUCAGCUUGUUGGUAGGGUAAUGGCCUACCAAGGCUAUGACGGUUAGGGGGUGUGAGAGCAUGACCCCCAGCAUUGGCACUGAAACACUGGCCAAACACCUACGGGUGGCUGCAGUCGAGAAUCUUCCACAAUGGGGGAAACCCUGAUGGAGCGAUGCUACGUGCGGGAUGAAGGCCUUCGGGUUGUAAACCGCUUUUGUAGGGGACGAAAUUUUUGACGGUACCCUUUCGAAUAAGAGGUUGCUAACUCUGUGCCAGCAGCAGCGGUAAUACAGAGACCUCAAGCGUUAUCCGGAUUUACUGGGCGUAAAGCGUCUGUAGGGGGUUUAUUAAGUUCCAAGUAAAAUUUCAAGGCUCAACUUUGAAUUCGCUUGGAAAACUAAUAAACUGGAGUCUAGCAGAGGUGCAUGGAACUUGUGGUGUAGGAGUGAAAUCCGUUGAUAUCACAAGGAACACCAAAGGCGAAGGCAUUGCACUGGGCUAGCACUGACCCUGAGAGACGAAAGCGUGGGGAGCAAAACGGAUUAGAUACCCGUGUAGUCCACGCCCUAAACGAUGAAUGCUAAAUGUUCGGGGAUUCGACCCCCUGGGUGUUACAGCUAACGCGUUAAGCAUUCCGCCUGGGAAGUACGGCCGCAAGGCUAAAACUCAAAGGAAUAGACGGGGAUCCGCACAAGCGGUGGAGCGUCUGGUUUAAUUCGACAGUAAGCGUGGUACCUCACCAGGGUUUGACAUCCCUUGACAGCCUUGGAAACAAGGUUUCCUUCGGGCAAGGUGACAGGUGCUGCAUGGUCGUCGUCAGUUCGUGCCGUGAGGUGUUCCGUUAAGUCGGGAAACGAACGAAACCCCUAUUGCAUGUUACAAUUUCUCAUGCAAGACUGCCCGGAUAUACUGGGAGGAAGGUGGGGAUGACGUCAGAUCUGCAUGGUCCUUAUACCCUGGGCGACGCAGGCGCUACAAUGGCAGAGACAAAGGGUUGCAAAACCGCAAGGUGAAGCUAAUCCCAAAAACUUUGUCUAAGUUCGGAUUGAAGGCUGCAAUUCGCCUUCAUGAAGCUGGAAUCGCUAGUAAUCGUGAAUCAGCCACGUCACGGUGAAUAUGUUCCCGGAUCUUGUACUCACCGCCCG